GAUGAAGAACGUAGUGAAAUGCGAUAAGUAGUGUGAAUUGCAGAAUUCAGUGAAUCAUCGAAUCUUUGAACGCACAUUGCGCCUCCUGGUAUUCCGGGAGGCAUGCCUGUUCGAGCGUCAUUAAAAUCACUCAAGCUUAGGUUUGCCUAUUGCUUGGUCUUGAAGAUGGAAGCUAAGUAAUUAGAAUCCUCUUCGAAAUCCAAUGGCGAAGACCCUUGCUCUCCCAAGUGUAGUAAUAACUUAUUCACUGAAGGAAGCGAGUAAUCUUCCGCCGUAACCCCCUUAUUUUCUAUGAUUGACCUCGGAUCAGGUAGGGAUACCCGCUGAACUUAAGCAUAUCAAUAAGCGGAGGA
RNAcentral lists this unclassified non-coding RNA (353 nucleotides) under soil metagenome. RNAcentral describes it as "partial contains 5.8S ribosomal RNA, internal transcribed spacer 2, and large subunit ribosomal RNA". The stretch from base 1 to 120 matches the Rfam family "5.8S ribosomal RNA", at positions 35 to 154 of the family's 154-position model. The record is from RNAcentral.